RNAcentral lists this ribosomal RNA (484 nucleotides) under uncultured bacterium. RNAcentral's name for it is "partial 16S ribosomal RNA". It matches the Rfam family "Bacterial small subunit ribosomal RNA", at positions 30 to 507 of the family's 1533-position model. The record is from RNAcentral.
AUUGAACGCUGGCGGCAGGCCUAACACAUGCAAGUCGAGCGGAUGAAGGGAGCUUGCUCCUGGAUUCAGCGGCGGACGGGUGAGUAAUUCCUAGGAAUCUGCCUGGUAGUGGGGGAUAACGUCCUGAAACGGGCGCUAAUACCGCAUACGUCCUGAGGGAGAAAGGGGGGGAGCUUCGGACCUCACGCUAUCAGAUGAGCCUAGGUCGGAUUAGCUAGUUGGUGGGGUAAAGGCCUACCAAGGCGACGAUCCGUAACUGGUCUGAGAGGAUGAUCAGUCACACUGGAACUGAGACACGGUCCAGACUCCUACGGGAGGCAGCAGUGGGGAAUAUUGGACAAUGGGCGCAAGCCUGAUCCAGCCAUGCCGCGUGUGUGAAGAAGGUCUUCGGAUUGUAAAGCACUUUAAGUUGGGAGGAAGGGCAGUAAGUUAAUACCUUGCUGUUUUGACGUUACCCAAAGAAUAAGCACCGGCUAACUUCGUG